This 253-nucleotide ribosomal RNA is filed under the name uncultured bacterium. Its description in RNAcentral is "partial 16S ribosomal RNA". It matches the Rfam family "Bacterial small subunit ribosomal RNA", at positions 524 to 776 of the family's 1533-position model. The record is from RNAcentral.
UACGGGGGGGGCAAGCGUUGUUCGGAAUUACUGGGCGUAAAGGGCUCGUAGGUGGCCAACUAAGUCGGACGUGAAAUCCCUCGGCUUAACCGGGGAACUGCGUCCGAUACUGGUUGGCUUGAGUUUGGGAGAGGGAUGCGGAAUUCCAGGUGUAGCGGUGAAAUGCGCAGAUAUCAGGAGGAACACCGGUGGCGAAGGCGGGUCUCUGGGCCGUAACUGACGCUGAGGAGCGAAAGCAUGGGGAGCGAACAGG